AUGGCAGAGCGCGGCACACCGCUUUCCACACCGCGGCCAAUCCGCGCAGCGGCACGUGGCACGCCCGCCCCUGCAGGCUAUCCAAUCAGCUGCGGGUGGCUGCCACAUCUACCCCAGUCGGGGCCACUGCAGCCACUCUGUAGACGGUCGCUGCGCCCUGCACGCGCAGCAGCUCGCGCAGCUCUCUCCUCCCAGCCGCGGGUCCCCUCAGUGCCGCGCUCUCUUCGCGGCCACGCUCUUCACGACUUGGCUCUUCUCAGGCCGCGGUCCUUGGGCCGCGCUCUGCUCAGGCUGCGCUCGUCUCUUCAAGAUGCUCCUCUGGCCGCGCACUCCACAGCCGCAGUCACCUCAGUGCCGUGCUCCUCACGCCGCUCUCCCUUCAGCGCACUUCGCAGGCUGCGCUCUCCUCACCGAGAAGCCCCUCCGGCCGCUCUCCUCACGGCCGCGCUCCUCACGGCUGCGCUCACCUCACCGAGUCGCCGCUCCUCACGGCCGCGCUCCUCACGGCUGCGCUCACCUCACCGAGUCGCCGCUCCUCACGGCCGCGCUCCUCACGGCUGCGCUCACCUCACCGAGUCGCCGCCCGACCGCGCUGCUCACGGCUGCGCUUACCUUAGUGCCGCCGUCUUCGUGGCCACGAUCUCCUCACAGCCGUCUGGGCUCACAGUGCUCUGGGCGUGGUCCGCCUGGCGGCGCGGGACUGGCAAUCGCCGACUAGCCGAGGUGAGCUCAGUGUCUCGUGGGUGGGUGGUAGGCGACUAGGUCGCCACGGUCGCCCGGGCAGAGCCGGGCAGGCGCUCGCUGUUCGCUGUGCGCCUACGUGGGUGCAAGAACCGCGUCGUGCUUCCGAGUCAGGGACGCAGGAUCGAGAAUGGGAGGAGAGUCAGGGUCCGAGUCCAGGGCUGGACCUGUGUCUGGAGGCCACCUCGCCGUUCUGCUUCGGGGACCCAGGUCCGAGUCCCGGUCUCGGUGCGGGUCGGGGCUCCGAGUCCGUGAUCGGAUCCGGGUCUGUUCGCGCCUUAAGAUCGGAAUUCUGAGUCGCGUAGCUGAGUCCACCUCACGGCUCUUGCGUGUGGGGUCCGAGUCAGGGGUCGGAGUCCGCGACUGGAGUCCGCCUCACGGUCUCGUCGGUGAUCUAAGGGGCCGAGGGCCUGGGACAGAACCCGUUGAGUCCAGGGUCCGAGGCUGAGGCGGGGUCAGGGUGAGUGUGGUGUCCGCCCUGUGGUUCUGGGCGCCCUGGAGGCCGAGUCGGGAUCCGAUUUCCAUGGAAGCGCUCCAGGGCGGUCGUCCCAGUUGGGGACUCGAGCCGAGGCAGGGAUCUGUGUCUGGGUUGGGAUUUGCGGCUGCGAGUCGGAGAUCGGAGUUGCGGUUAGAAGUCCGGGCUGGGAAUCCGAGCCAAGAGUUUCUAGGUGCAGUGGAAAUUCUGAGUCAAAGGUCGGUCGCGAUUUUGGGGUCAGGAUCUCAGGUCCAGGUUGGGUUGGGGUGGGGUGGGAGGAGGGAAUAGAAAUUGUGGCCACAGAAGUUGUGGCGAUGGAGGUUGAUGACUCAGGUCAGGGGUUUCAGUGUGGGCAGUAGCUGGGACAGUCUCACUGCCACCCCCACUGCUCCUCUGGUGCCUUUUCUGUAAAAUAGAGGUUAAGUGCCUUCCCAUAGGACUGUUCUGGGGAUGAGAGAGAAUCAUUCAUCCACACAGAAUACUUUGACCUAGAUUGAGUGUUGCAAAGUACAAGAAUGUUGCUAGUAAUAGUAAAACUACAUUUGAGGUGUGUUUCCCAGUCCCUUUCCUGGUUGCCUCACGCCUGUCUGGGCAGAGAGCUCCCAGAAGGGACAUUUCUGGUCUGUUCUCCACUGCCUAACCAGGAGCCUGAUAUACAACCUUGCUCAGGCAAUACUCCUUGAAGGAAAGCAGGCAGGCAGGAUUAACCAGAUUUCUAUGGUGUCUCAAAUGAUCCAUUUCUGCACCUGUUUUCCAGAUACUCACUAGGAGAAAAAUUUAAGGAUUGAGUUGCUUGAUUACAGUUCUAUUUUAAUGUGUUUCCAAACAUGUUGAAGAGAAAAGUGGGCCUGUUUCAGGAUUUAUGCUCCAGCUAGAGGAUCUUUUUAAAUUGUGAAUCAGAGCAUGUCCAAAUUCAAAUAAGGAAAGCACAGGAAAAUUAUGAACUAUUUCCUUAUUAACAUAGGUGCAGAACUCCCAUGUACAGCAUUAGCUAACUGAAUCCAACAGUAUAUUAAACAAUUCUUAAACAAGUGGGAUUUCUCCUAGGAAUGCAAAUAUGAUCCAGUAUCAGAAAUUCUAUCCAUGUAAUUCACCACAUUAAGAAACUAAAGGAGAGAAACCAUAUGGUUCUCAAUAGAGGCAGAAAAACUAUAUGAUAAAGCUUAAUGCCUUUUAUGAUUUGGGGAGGGCACCAUUAACUAGCUAAGACUAGAAGGAACUUCCUAAACUGAUACAAGUCAUAUACAGAAACUUUACUUUUCAACAAACUCAACAGAGAAAACGAAAGUGUAUAGUUCCUUUAAGAUAAGGAGUACACUUGGGAUGCCAUCCUGGCCAUCCCCAGUACAGGAAAAGCAAAGGAAAUGUAAGGAGAGAGCUAAAGAGAAAGACAAAACUGCUGAUCGAAGUUAGAUUGUUUGUGUCAGGGUUCUUAAACAUUUUUGUUUUAGGACCCUUUGUACUUUAAAAUUACUGAAGUCCCUAAAGAGCUUUUGUUAAUAUGGGUUGCAUCUGCUGAUAGUUACCUUCUUAGAAUUUAAAACUGAGAAAUGCUUAAAACAUAGGAUAGUACAAGCACAUAUUCCAGUGGGGUCCUGCUGCCUCUGGAAAACUCUUUAACUUUUGAGAGUAGAAACAGAAGAGGCAAACGUUGUCUGAGUAGUAUCAUGAAAAUAGUUUGGGCUCUGAGAAAGCAUUUCAAGGGGCUCUCUGGGGUCCUUGGACCACACUCCGAAAACUACUGAGCUACAUGGGAAAAAAUUCAACUUUAGGCUCUAAAGAGACUUCAGCAAAGUUUUGGAUAUAAGAUCAAUGUACCCCUGCCCAAAGCAUUUUUCUUUAGCUGGUAGUGAAUAAUUUAAAAGCAUGUUAGCAGCUAAGGUAGAAAUUAGUAUAGCAGCAAAGUUUAUAUUAGGUCUUUGGAAUUAACAAAAAGGCUUUUAUGAAGAAAAUUUUAAAAUUUAAUUGAAGGAUAAAAUUUUAUUGAAGAUCUUUGAUACGGAGAGACAUUCUGUUCUCUUGGAUGGGGCAGCUUAGCACUAGAGAGAUGUCAGGUUUUCCAAAUCUGUAAACUCAAUACAACUCUGGUUAAAUUUCUAGUUGGAGCUUUUGAGGAACUUGACAAACAUAUUCUAAAGUGUAUGUGAAAGAAAAGAUCUACAAACACCAAGUGAACUUUGAAAAGGAGAACAGAGAAGGCCUUGUACCAGCAGAUCCUGGGGCAUAUUCCAAGCCUCAGUAAUUGGAAUGGUGGGAGACAGAGGCCCAGAAGAAACUUCAAAGGCAGCCCUGCAUCUAAAGGAGGUGGCAUGAAAUAGAGGUGGCACCACAGACUAUUGAGAAGAUGGUAUUGGGAAAGUUAGCCCUAAAUGGAGAAAUAUAAGUGUGGAUUCCUAUGUGAUCCCUGGAAAAACAGGCUCCACAGGCACUUAAAGAUUUACAGCUAAAAAGUACUUGACAUUUGUGUAGUAGGAGGAAACUAUGAAGAAUUUCAUGGCGCAGGGUGGCCUUGGGAUCUUAUUCAGGACCGGAAAGCACAAACCUCAAGACUAAAAUUUAUGAACUUGAAUACAUGCUAAUUAUCUGUUAAAUAAAUCCAUCAUGGCAAAGGUCAAAACUAUUUUCAUAAUAGUGUCUUCCCUUUUCACUCUUACUUGCGUUACUCUGCUCAGGUUAUAGAUGACAUAUUACAAGAUAUUUGAGACAAAUAUAAUUGAUGAGGAGACAAUGGCUAAAAUACACCAAAAGUCUCACAAAUCAAUAAGAAAAAGACAAAAAGCCCCAAAGAAAAGUGGGCAAAAUAUAUUAGUUGACUUUUGCAGGAGGGUUAACAACUAUGUGAAAAGAUGCUCAAGCUUAUCAAUAAUCAGAUAAAGGCAAACAAAAGCAAUAGAUAUUCAUUUGAGAAGAAUUAGAAAGUAGGAUAAUGCCAGUGUUGGCAGAAAUGCAGGAAACAAGCCUCCUGUGUGUUGCAGGUGGGAAUAGAGACAGGCACAGGCAUUCUGGAGAGCCAUCCAGCACUUCUUCCUUAAAUAAAAUAUUCAAUACCUGCAACCUAGCAGUUUCCUCCCAGGUAAACAGUGAGAGCAGUUCUCACCAGAACAAGAGGCUGUGUGUGUGCAUACUCUGUGCAGCCUGGCCUGUGGGGUGGGGAGUUGGAACCUGGCUCUGUGGCUACUAGGAAGGACUGGAUGUACACCUCACAAAAUGGAGACGUGUGCACACGUGACACUGAGGACACAAAUGCCGAACAGAACAAGGGGCCUCAAUAUACAGUUCUGUAUUUAAAUCACAAUUACACACCAUCCAGACAUGCAAGAAGACACUACAUGCAUCACCAGGGCGCGUGCGCACAGUGAUAAAUAAAUUACCCUGGAGCAGCUGUUUACAGUGGAAGGAGAGGAGGACAGAGAACAGCUUUAAAUAGAAAAUCAAAAGAACACAGGGAUGCCUCCCACAGACCGUUAUGGGGUGACAGUGUUUCAUGAAUUUAGGGCUGUGAAUAAUCCCAUGUCCUAUGCAGUAGAGUCCCCAAAGCCAAGAACAAACGAAUGAAUGUGUGUCCUAUACCUCCUCUACCAGGCAUCCUCAGUAGCUUCUAUUUUCAGGAAAUUAAAUUCAAAUUCCAUGAGGCUUUACAAGAUCUGCCCUGCCUACUGUCUUUCUCCUCUCUGAGCUCCCAUCACACCAGCCUUCUACCUAUUUCUCCAACCAGCCAAGUGCCUCAGGGCCUUUGCACCAGCUACUUCUGCCUGGCUCCUUCUUCCCUGUGAUCUUCCCAUGACAGUUUCUUCUCCUCCUUGAGGUAUCACCUGAAAUGCUGCUUGUCAAAGAGACCUCUGCCAUUUUAGUUGGCCCCUCAGUCACUUGCUAGGUGACCACUACAUUUCAAGCUUCUGUAGGCAUAGACUACCCCACAGUAUUUUCUGUCCUUAGGCAUCUACUUAUUUGUUGCCUGCUGGUCUCCUCCACGGAAGGAGGCCCCAUGAGGCGUGUCUGUCUUUUCUACAGGGUCUGCACACGGCGGGUACGUCAUGCAUUUCUGUUGAAUGGCUUCAUUGAUUUGUUGAAUGAAGGAAGAGGCCAGGCCAGCAAAGUGUGCAUCC
RNAcentral lists this long non-coding RNA (5322 nucleotides) under Bos grunniens (domestic yak). RNAcentral's name for it is "lncRNA (ENSBGRG00000014930.1)". Lineage: Eukaryota; Metazoa; Chordata; Mammalia; Artiodactyla; Bovidae. The record is from RNAcentral.